This 642-nucleotide ribosomal RNA is filed under the name Triticum aestivum (bread wheat). RNAcentral's name for it is "partial small subunit ribosomal RNA". Lineage: Eukaryota; Viridiplantae; Streptophyta; Magnoliopsida; Poales; Poaceae. The record is from RNAcentral.
AUGGAUGUCAAUAGAGCACCUGGCCCUGAUAAUAUUCCUGCGGAGUUUUAUCAACAUUGCUGGAACAUUGUCAAAAGUGACAUUAUGCGGCUGUUCAGCCACUUCCAUGCUGGAACGCUUGACGUGCAGCGCCUUAAUUAUGGGGUGAUUACUCUUCUCCCAAAAGUGUCAGGUGCGGAUCUUAUUCAGCAAUUUCGGCCUAUUUGUCUCCUUAGGUGCCCAUAUAAACUGAUUACUAAGACUAUGGAUCGGAGAGUAGAAAAAUAUGCUGACAAACUGAUAAGCUUGUCACAAAAUGCUUUUGUAAAAGGGAGGAAUAUUAUGGAUGGGAUCAUGACUUUACAUGAGCUCCUCAAUUACACCCAUGUCAAGAAAAAAGUAGGGGUGGUGCUUAAGCUCGACUUCGAGAAAGCAUACGACAAGGUUAACUGGGAGUUUCUGUUGGAUUGCCACAUAAUGAGGGGCUUCAAUGAAACCUGGUGUGGGUGGGUGAAUCAAAUCCUAUACAAUGGUACUGUUAGUAUCAAGCUUAACAACUCAGUGGGCCCAUAUUUUCAGUGCCAAAGGGGUGCGCCAAGGAGACCCCCACUCCCCCUUUUUGUUCAAACUAGCUGUAGAAUGCCUCAACAAGAUGAUCUGUAA